Molecule: ribosomal RNA, 425 nt
Filed under: uncultured Eubacterium sp.
Lineage: Bacteria; Bacillati; Bacillota; Clostridia; Eubacteriales; Eubacteriaceae
Description: bacterial SSU rRNA
Rfam family: Bacterial small subunit ribosomal RNA
Source: RNAcentral
UGGGGAAUAUUGGGCAAUGGGCGAAAGCCUGACCCAGCAACGCCGCGUGAGGGAAGAAGGUUUUCGGAUUGUAAACCUCUGUUUUUAGUGACGAAACAAAUGACGGUAGCUAAAGAGGAAGCCACGGCUAACUACGUGCCAGCAGCCGCGGCAAUACGUAGGUGGCAAGCGUUGUCCGGAAUCACUGGGUGUAAAGGGUGCGCAGGCGGGACAGCAAGUUGGAUGUGAAAUGUCGAGGCUUAACCUCGGAACUGCAUCCAAAACUGUAGUUCUUGAGUGAAGUAGAGGUAGGCGGAAUUCCGAGUGUAGCGGUGAAAUGCGUAGAUAUUCGGAGGAACACCGGUGGCGAAGGCGGCCUACUGGGCUUUAACUGACGCUGAGGCACGAAAGCAUGGGGAGCAAACAGGAUUAGAUACCCUGGUAGU